Molecule: ribosomal RNA, 765 nt
Filed under: uncultured crenarchaeote
Lineage: Archaea; Thermoproteati; Thermoproteota
Description: bacterial SSU rRNA
Rfam family: Archaeal small subunit ribosomal RNA
Source: RNAcentral
UUACGGCUCAGUAACACGUAGUCAACCUGCCCUGGAGACCAGGAUAACCCCGGGAAACUGGGAUUAAUACUGGAUAGGUCAUCUCAUCUGGAAGGAGAGAUGGCUUAAAGGGGUGUGUGAGCUUCUUUCAUACAGCUGCUCCAGGAUGGGACUGCGACUGAUCAGGCUGUUGGCGGGGUAAUGGCCCACCAAACCAGUAACCAGUACGGGCCUUGAGAGAGGGGGCCCGGAGAUGGACACUGAGAGAAGGGUCCAGGUCCUACGGGGCGCAGCAGGCGCGAAACCUUCGCAAUGCGCGAAAGCGUGACGAGGUUAAUCCGAGUGGUUCCCGCUGAGGGAAUCUUUUGUCGGCUCUAAAAAGGCCGGCGAAUAAGGGGAGGGCAAGUCUGGUGUCAGCCGCCGCGGUAAUACCAGCUCCUCGAGUGGUCGGGGCGAUUAUUGGGCCUAAAGCAUCCGUAGCCGGUUCUGUAGGUCCUCUGUUAAAUCCAACGGCUUAACCGUUGGCCCGCAGAGGAUACCGCAGGACUAGGAGGCGGGAGAGGCAGACGGUACUCUACGUGUAGGGGUAAAAUCCUUUGAUCCGUAGAAGACCACCAGUGGCGAAGGCGGUCUGCCAGAACGCGCUCGACGGUGAGGGAUGAAAGCUGGGGGAGCGAACCGGAUUAGAUACCCGGGUAGUCCCAGCCGUAAACGAUGCGAGCUAGAUGAUUCGGUCGCAAAUCGCGAUCGAAGUGUCGCAGGGAAGCCGUUAAGCUCGCCGCCUGG